GGUUGAUCCUGCCAGUAGCAUAUGCUUGACUUGGAGAUUAAGCCAUGCAUGUCUAAGUAUAAGUUAUAUAUGGCAAAACUGCGAAUGGCUCACUAAAACAGUUAUAAUUUAUUUGAUGAUUUUUUUACAUGGAUAACCAUGGGAAACUAUGGCUAAUACAUGCAUAAGCCUCACGGCUGUAUUUAUUAGUCUUAAACCAAUACGCAAGUAUUGAGAGGAAUCAUAAUAACUGAUCGAAGCGCAGUCAAAUGCGCUACAUCAUAUAAGUUUCUGCCCUAUCAGCCAGAUGGUA
RNAcentral lists this ribosomal RNA (292 nucleotides) under uncultured eukaryote. RNAcentral describes it as "partial 18S ribosomal RNA". It matches the Rfam family "Eukaryotic small subunit ribosomal RNA", at positions 6 to 330 of the family's 1831-position model. The record is from RNAcentral.